CUCUUCUUGUUUUAUUUUUGAAGUAUAGCCUGCCCACUGAUUAAUUUUGAAGGGCCGCGGUAUUUUGACCGUGCAAAGGUAGCAUAAUCAUUAGUCUUUUAAUUGAAGACUAGAAUGAAUGGUUGGACGAGGAAUAGACUGUUUCUUAAUAAUAUAUUUUGAAUUUAAAAUUUAAGUUAAAAUGCUUAAGUUUUUUUAUGGGACGAGAAGACCCUAUAGAGUUUAAUAAAUUUUAUUAUUAUUUUGUUUGUUAAGUAAUUUAUUUGUAGAAUUUAUUUUGUUGGGGUGAUGAUAAUGAAUUAAUAAACUCUUUUUUUUUGUUGUAUAUUUAUUUAUAAUUCUUUGAUCCAUUCUUGUUGAUUAAAAGACUAAAUUACCUUAGGGAUAACAGCGUAAUCUUUUUUGAGAGUUCUUAUCGAUAAAAGGGUUUGCGA
Molecule: ribosomal RNA, 434 nt
Filed under: Angustonicus sp. MD-2022
Lineage: Eukaryota; Metazoa; Arthropoda; Insecta; Blattodea; Blattidae
Description: partial large subunit ribosomal RNA
Source: RNAcentral